This 344-nucleotide ribosomal RNA is filed under the name uncultured Verrucomicrobiota bacterium. RNAcentral's name for it is "bacterial SSU rRNA". It matches the Rfam family "Bacterial small subunit ribosomal RNA", at positions 29 to 351 of the family's 1533-position model. Lineage: Bacteria; Pseudomonadati; Verrucomicrobiota. The record is from RNAcentral.
AACGAACGCUGGCGGCGUGGAUAAGACAUGCAAGUCGAACGCUGGUUGCGUGGUAGCAAUAUUGCGUAAUCGGAGUGGCGUAAGGGUGCGUAACACGUGGGCAAUCUGCCGUGAAGUUGGGGAUAACCCCGAGAAAUCGGGGCUAAUACCGAAUGUGAUGGUUUGGGGGCAUCCCUAAACUUUCGAAGCUGGGGACCGCAAGGCCUGGCGCUUCACGAUGAGCCCGCGGCCUAUCAGCUAGUUGGCGGGGUAACGGCCCACCAAGGCUCUGACGGGUAGCUGGUCUGAGAGGACGACCAGCCACACUGGAACUGAGACACGGUCCAGACACCUACGGGUGGCUG